RNAcentral lists this ribosomal RNA (563 nucleotides) under uncultured bacterium. Its description in RNAcentral is "bacterial SSU rRNA". It matches the Rfam family "Bacterial small subunit ribosomal RNA", at positions 337 to 916 of the family's 1533-position model. The record is from RNAcentral.
UCCUACGGGAGGCAGCAGUCGGGAAUUUUGCCCAAUGGGGGAAACCCUGAGGCAGCAACGCCGCGUGAGGGAUGAAGGCCUUCGGGUUGUAAACCUCUUUUCUCAGGGACGAUAAUGACGGUACCUGAGGAAUAAGCCACGGCUAACUACGUGCCAGCAGCCGCGGUAAUACGUAGGUGGCAAGCGUUGUCCGGAUUUACUGGGCGUAAAGAGCGCGCAGGCGGCCAGGUCAGUCGAAUGUGAAAGCCCCCGGCUCAACUGGGGAGGGUCAUUCGAUACUGCCUGGCUUGAAGAUAGGAGAGGGAAGCGGAAUUUCAGGUGUAGUGGUGAAAUGCGUAGAUAUCUGAAGGAACACCAGUGGCGAAGGCGGCUUUCUGGCCUAUUCUUGACGCUGAGGCGCGAAAGCUAGGGGAGCGAACGGGAUUAGAUACCCCGGUAGUCCUAGCCGUAAACGAUGAACACUAGAUGUUGGUGGUAUCAACCCCGCCAGUGUCGCAGCUAACGCAUUAAGUGUUCCGCCUGGGGAGUACGGCCGCAAGGCUAAAACUCAAAUGAAUUGACGG